CCCUACGGGAGGCAGCAGUGGGGAAUAUUGGACAAUGGGGGGAACCCUGAUCCAGCGACGCCGCGUGAGUGAAGAAGUAUUUCGGUAUGUAAAGCUCUAUCAGCAGGGAAGAAAGAAAUGACGGUACCUGACUAAGAAGCCCCGGCUAACUACGUGCCAGCAGCCGCGGUAAUACGUAGGGGGCAAGCGUUAUCCGGAUUCACUGGGUGUAAAGGGAGCGUAGACGGCGACGCAAGUCUGGAGUGAAAGCCCGGGGCCCAACCCCGGGACUGCUCUGGAAACUGCGUCGCUGGAGUACGGGAGGG
Molecule: ribosomal RNA, 305 nt
Filed under: uncultured bacterium
Lineage: Bacteria
Description: bacterial SSU rRNA
Rfam family: Bacterial small subunit ribosomal RNA
Source: RNAcentral